Molecule: small nuclear RNA, 107 nt
Organism: Callithrix jacchus (white-tufted-ear marmoset)
Lineage: Eukaryota; Metazoa; Chordata; Mammalia; Primates; Cebidae
Source: Ensembl
GUGCUGGCUUCGGCAGCACACAUACUAAAAUUGGAACAAUAUAAAGAAGAUUAGCAUGGUCCCUGCGAGAGGAUGACACGCAAAUUCGUGAAGUGUUCCAUAUUAAA